UACGUAGGUGGCAAGCGUUGUCCGGAUUUAUUGGGUUUAAAGGGUGCGUAGGCGGUCUUAUAAGUCAGUGCUGAAAUAUCCCGGCUUAACCGGGAGGGUGGCAUUGAUACUGUAGGACUUGAGUAGAGUUGAGGUUGGCGGAAUUGACGGUGUAGCGGUGAAAUGCUUAGAUAUCGUCAAGAACACCGAUAGUGAAGACAGCUAACUAAGCUCUAACUGACGCUGAGGCACGAAAGUGUGGGGAGCAAACAGG
This 253-nucleotide ribosomal RNA is filed under the name uncultured bacterium. Its description in RNAcentral is "partial 16S ribosomal RNA". It matches the Rfam family "Bacterial small subunit ribosomal RNA", at positions 524 to 776 of the family's 1533-position model. The record is from RNAcentral.